AUGAGCCGCCGUCCUCGGCGGGGCCGUACCAACCAAGGGAGAACGGCAGGCACGCGACGACAAUUUCAUAAGCAGAUCUUCCCCUCCACACCAAUCACGAGUUCGAUUCGGAUCCCUCUGUUGUUUCCCUUUCCUCCCGAACCUUUUCCUCUAAAUGAUAAAAAAAAUGGUACACUCGAAUUGUAUUAUUUAAGUGCUUAUUGCUCGCCAAAAAUCCUACUCCUACAAUUGGUAGGUCACCGGGUUAUUCAAAUAUGUCGUGUUUUCUGUGCUUUUCCAUGCACGCCGCGGUGCCAGAUGGUGGCUUGA
This 309-nucleotide ribosomal RNA is filed under the name Triticum aestivum (bread wheat). RNAcentral describes it as "partial small subunit ribosomal RNA". Lineage: Eukaryota; Viridiplantae; Streptophyta; Magnoliopsida; Poales; Poaceae. The record is from RNAcentral.